UCCGAAUUGGUGUAGUGGCCAACAUUUGACGCUCUCAUUGCCGCCUUCUCACCUCUCUUUAGAGGUUUAGACGUAGGAUUGGUGCCGUCAAGCCCGGGGUUCGAUUCCCCGAUUCGGAG
Non-coding RNA from Xylaria longipes, 119 nucleotides. The record is from the annotation of a GenBank genome assembly. Lineage: Eukaryota; Fungi; Ascomycota; Sordariomycetes; Xylariales; Xylariaceae.